CCACCGAUACGCAUUACACAAACGUAUCCGCCAGAGAACUACAAGUGAAAAACUUAAAACUCAAAGGAUUUGGCGGUACUCCACCCAAACUAGAGGAGCCUGUCCUAUAAUCGAUACCCCACGAUCAACCCAACCACCCCUUGCCAACCAGCCUAUAUACCGCCGUCGUCAGCUUAUCCCAUGAGGGUAAAAAAAUAAGCAAAAUAGUUUAUCACUAAAACGUCAGGUCAAGGCGUAGCUAAUGGGGUGGUAGUGAUGAGCUACACUCUCUACCAAAGAAAAAACGAAUGGCACCAUGAAAUGGCAGCCGGAAGGCGGAUUUAGCAGUAAACUAAGAAAGAGUGCUUACUU
Molecule: ribosomal RNA, 351 nt
Filed under: Barisia imbricata
Lineage: Eukaryota; Metazoa; Chordata; Lepidosauria; Squamata; Anguidae
Description: partial 12S ribosomal RNA
Rfam family: Bacterial small subunit ribosomal RNA
Source: RNAcentral